This 253-nucleotide ribosomal RNA is filed under the name uncultured bacterium. RNAcentral describes it as "partial 16S ribosomal RNA". It matches the Rfam family "Bacterial small subunit ribosomal RNA", at positions 524 to 776 of the family's 1533-position model. The record is from RNAcentral.
UACGUAGGGGGCAAGCGUUGUCCGGAUUUAUUGGGCGUAAAGAGCGUGUAGGCGGCUUUACAGGUCCGUUGUGAAAACUCGAGGCUCAACCUCGAGACGCCGGUGGAAACCGUAAGGCUAGAGUCCGGGAGAGGGAAGCGGAAUUCCGGGUGUAGCGGUGAAAUGCGUAGAUAUCCGGAGGAACACCGGUGGCGAAGGCGGCUUCCUGGACCGACACUGACGCUGAGGCGCGAAAGCUAGGGGAGCAAACGGG